Molecule: long non-coding RNA, 1967 nt
Organism: Anthonomus grandis grandis
Lineage: Eukaryota; Metazoa; Arthropoda; Insecta; Coleoptera; Curculionidae
Exons: 4
Source: RefSeq, a predicted model, not a curated record
CGACUAGUAGUUUUAAACAGAAGCUUAUUAGUAAAUGUAAUCUUGAUGAAACGCAUCUAUUUUGGGCAGACAUAACCUCAAAGGAGCAAUGCAAACAGUGGAUUACAGAGUUCUCCGCAAAUGAGACAGCAUGGGUGCUGCGUACCUCUAAAUUAGCUUCAAAAAAGAUUGUUUGCAGAAUGGAAUAUGUCUGUCAUCAGGCAUCAUUUGAAAAAUCACAAUCCACAAGAAAGAUAUCAAAAAAUUCGACUGCCAAGCAGCAAUUGUUAUUGUUGUAAAAGCUCAAACAAAGUGGAGUACGUACAAAAAUGAACAAAUAAAGAACAAUUUGCCGGCUCUAAUAACAAUUAAAAAUAAACACGCUCAUGCUUUAAACAAUGCAGUUGCGCUCAGUUAUUUACCUGCAUCGGAAGGAGUAAGAAAUGCAUUUGAAACAUAUUUUGGCAAUGGCAUGGGCAUAACAGAAGCUAUUCACUUUCAUUCUCACAAAUUGGAGCUUGAGAUGGAUGAAACAAAUAUCGCCAAUGCAUGAGUGAAUCCAAAAUAUAGAUCAGUAAAGUAUUGGUAUACAGAAUGGAGAAAAAUAAAUUAUGGGAUACGAACUGAAGUUGGAUCCUUAGAGGUAAAUGAAUUAAUGAAAUCCUUCCAAUAUACAGAGUGAUCCAGUAUCGAGUCUCACGACUGUGCAACUUUGCCAUAAUUUAACCAACUGUACCUUCUAUGGUUUAUGCUUUCAAAAGGGCGAUUUUCCACACCCAUAAAAAAUUGAAGCUUAAGGAAAAAGCCGCGGAAUAUGAGAAGCUUGGAAUAUUAUUGCAAACUACAGACGAUCCAUUUACAGUUGUAAUUAUAACAUCCAUAAUGCAAAGAAGCCACAAACUACCAGCUACAAAAGACAUCAUAUUUAUUGACAGUACAUCCUCUGGUGAUGCAGAAAAUCAUGUAAUAACGUUCAUUUUGACGGUAACUGUAGCUAGGGCUGUACCUCAAGGAAUUUUUAUUAUCAAAAACCAAACCAUAUCUGAUUACGUAUUUGGUUUAAAUGGAAUAAAAUUGAUUCUUGGGAACGAAGCUUUUGGAGAUUCUUGUUUAAGAUAUAUUAUGACGGACGAUAGUAAAGCGGAGAGGCAAGCAUUAAGUCAAGUAUUUCCAGAGUCGAAACUUUUGCUAUGCUCUUUUCACGUGUGGCAGUCAAUAUGGAGAUGGCUUUGCGAGAAGAAGCAUAAUAUUGAAAAAACGACCGACCAGCAUUGUACGAUAGUUUCAAAAAUAUACUGAGGUCUUCUAACGCUGACAUGGCAGAAAGUAGCUUCGAAUCUAAAUUGAGCAAUAACACUGCUGUAAAAUAUCCCGCUUGGAUUAUGUACGUGAAGAAUUACUGGAAACGCCGACUUUAUUGGUGCGUACUUGCAUACAGAAAUGCAAGUACGCAUAGUCACUAAACAAAUAAUUUUUCUGAAAUAUCUGUCAGGCUGUACAAAAAUAUUGUGUUAAAUCGAUGCAAGGCCUACAAUAUCGUGGCCUUAGCUGGUUUUACAUGUACUGUGCUGGAACAAUACUAUUUUCGACGUUUAUUGAAUUUUGCUCACGGACGAAUAAAUGGGAGUAGGGCCAUUUUCAAAAAAGAAAUGAAAUAAGCAUCUUAUUUGACAAAAAAAGACAUAGUUCUUGUUGAAAAAUUCUCAUUCAAUGUACCAAGCAGUAGCAGUAAUAAACUAGUUUACGAAGUCGACAUGCAAAUGGGUCAUUGCACAUGCGAGGUUGGAAGGCUGGGAAACUUGUGUAAGCACCAAACUGCCGUUUUUUUCAUUAUUUCAAUGUCGUUUCAUGUACAACGGAAAAAAGAUUUGCAAUGGCUGUAUUGGCCUUGGGACAAAAAGCUAAGUCAAAGGAGUUUUACGCUCCUCUUGUUGAAACAACGAGCAGCGAUAAAGAUUCCUUUCGACCAUGCUCUUCUAAUUUUGAAG